Molecule: RNA transcript, 841 nt
Organism: Medicago truncatula (barrel medic)
Lineage: Eukaryota; Viridiplantae; Streptophyta; Magnoliopsida; Fabales; Fabaceae
Exons: 5
Source: RefSeq, a predicted model, not a curated record
GUAAGAUAUAAAUCAUGUAUUUUUUUUACAUUGAGACAAAGUAUAAUACAAUCACCGUAUCUUUCAUUCAUCAUGUGCAUCAAAGGAGCCAAGAGUGGUUUGAAUUUUCCUUGAUUGAAUUACUCGUACAUAAGCCAAAAUUUGAUACGCUUUUGUUUUUGUUUUCUUUUCUCUCCAUCGCUUUCGUCUCAGUGAAGUUCAGUCCACACUACACAACAACAGAACGACUCUUCAAAGGGCUCAAAUGAUGCCCGCAAAAAUAAUUUGACUGGGAAAGAAGCCUUUGUAAACCAUGCUGAGAUAGCGUGGAAUCAAAAGAGGAAAGAAUGGGUUGGUGAUCAGUCAAACAAAGCACAGAGACCCCCUAGAGUUUCAACUAUAUGCCUGACAGGAAAUCCUAACGACAUGCUUUUCUCUAACGAAUCUUUCCGCCCGCCUAUACCUUUAGCUGAGAUGGUAGGCUAUUUUGUUAAAAUUUGGAAACAUGAAGGUCUAUAUGAAAUAGCUAAUAGGUAAUUCUUCUGGAAACUUCAGUAAGAAUUUUGCAUGAUUUUAUUUGCAGAGAAGGCAUCACAAGGACAUUGCUGAGAGUGAGAGACUCUUCAAUAUGAGAUGGUUGAAGUCGUUGAAUGAUAUUUUUAAUUAUGUUAGCAGCACAAAUAAACUUGAUAGCACUUAGCAGUUUCCACCUGCCACACUGUUGACAGGCUGAACAUUUUAUAGUUUUUUUUUUUUUUUUUACAUUUUUGAACUAGAGUGCAUUCUAUGAUUACAAUGUGUGAAAUCUCAAUGUUUUGAUGAAUUUCAAAACAAAAAGUUGAGUAUACAUUGAAUAUUUGCA